UUAAGCGACUAAGCGUACACGGUGGAUGCCCUGGCAGUCAGAGGCGAUGAAGGACGUGCUAAUCUGCGAUAAGCGUCGGUAAGGUGAUAUGAACCGUUAUAACCGGCGAUUUCCGAAUGGGGAAACCCAGUGUGUUUCGACACACUAUCAUUAACUGAAUCCAUAGGUUAAUGAGGCGAACCGGGGGAACUGAAACAUCUAAGUACCCCGAGGAAAAGAAAUCAACCGAGAUUCCCCCAGUAGCGGCGAGCGAACGGGGAGGAGCCCAGAGCCUGAAUCAGUGUGUGUGUUAGUGGAAGCGUCUGGAAAGGCGCGCGAUACAGGGUGACAGCCCCGUACACAAAAAUGCACAUACUGUGAGCUCGAUGAGUAGGGCGGGACACGUGGUAUCCUGUCUGAAUAUGGGGGGACCAUCCUCCAAGGCUAAAUACUCCUGACUGACCGAUAGUGAACCAGUACCGUGAGGGAAAGGCGAAAAGAACCCCGGCGAGGGGAGUGAAAAAGAACCUGAAACCGUGUACGUACAAGCAGUGGGAGCCUCUUAAUGGGGUGACUGCGUACCUUUUGUAUAAUGGGUCAGCGACUUAUAUUCUGUAGCAAGGUUAACCGAAUAGGGGAGCCGAAGGGAAACCGAGUCUUAACUGGGCGUUAAGUUGCAGGGUAUAGACCCGAAACCCGGUGAUCUAGCUAUGGGCAGGUUGAAGGUUGGGUAACACUAACUGGAGGACCGAACCGACUAAUGUUGAAAAAUUAGCGGAUGACUUGUGGCUGGGGGUGAAAGGCCAAUCAAACCGGGAGAUAGCUGGUUCUCCCCGAAAGCUAUUUAGGUAGCGCCUCGUGAAUUCAUCUCCGGGGGUAGAGCACUGUUUCGGCAAGGGGGUCAUCCCGACUUACCAACCCGAUGCAAACUGCGAAUACCGGAGAAUGUUAUCACGGGAGACACACGGCGGGUGCUAACGUCCGUCGUGAAGAGGGAAACAACCCAGACCGCCAGCUAAGGUCCCAAAGUCAUGGUUAAGUGGGAAACGAUGUGGGAAGGCCCAGACAGCCAGGAUGUUGGCUUAGAAGCAGCCAUCAUUUAAAGAAAGCGUAAUAGCUCACUGGUCGAGUCGGCCUGCGCGGAAGAUGUAACGGGGCUAAACCAUGCACCGAAGCUGCGGCAGCGACGCUUAUGCGUUGUUGGGUAGGGGAGCGUUCUGUAAGCCUGUGAAGGUGGCCUGUGAGGGUUGCUGGAGGUAUCAGAAGUGCGAAUGCUGACAUAAGUAACGAUAAAGCGGGUGAAAAGCCCGCUCGCCGGAAGACCAAGGGUUCCUGUCCAACGUUAAUCGGGGCAGGGUGAGUCGACCCCUAAGGCGAGGCCGAAAGGCGUAGUCGAUGGGAAACAGGUUAAUAUUCCUGUACUUGGUGUUACUGCGAAGGGGGGACGGAGAAGGCUAUGUUGGCCGGGCGACGGUUGUCCCGGUUUAAGCGUGUAGGCUGGUUUUCCAGGCAAAUCCGGAAAAUCAAGGCUGAGGCGUGAUGACGAGGCACUACGGUGCUGAAGCGACAAAUGCCCUGCUUCCAGGAAAAGCCUCUAAGCAUCAGGUAACAUCAAAUCGUACCCCAAACCGACACAGGUGGUCAGGUAGAGAAUACCAAGGCGCUUGAGAGAACUCGGGUGAAGGAACUAGGCAAAAUGGUGCCGUAACUUCGGGAGAAGGCACGCUGAUAUGUAGGUGAAGCGACUUGCUCGUGGAGCUGAAAUCAGUCGAAGAUACCAGCUGGCUGCAACUGUUUAUUAAAAACACAGCACUGUGCAAACACGAAAGUGGACGUAUACGGUGUGACGCCUGCCCGGUGCCGGAAGGUUAAUUGAUGGGGUUAGCGGUAACGCGAAGCUCUUGAUCGAAGCCCCGGUAAACGGCGGCCGUAACUAUAACGGUCCUAAGGUAGCGAAAUUCCUUGUCGGGUAAGUUCCGACCUGCACGAAUGGCGUAAUGAUGGCCAGGCUGUCUCCACCCGAGACUCAGUGAAAUUGAACUCGCUGUGAAGAUGCAGUGUACCCGCGGCAAGACGGAAAGACCCCGUGAACCUUUACUAUAGCUUGACACUGAACAUUGAGCCUUGAUGUGUAGGAUAGGUGGGAGGCUUUGAAGUGUGGACGCCAGUCUGCAUGGAGCCGACCUUGAAAUACCACCCUUUAAUGUUUGAUGUUCUAACGUGGGCCCCUUACCGGGGUUGCGGACAGUGUCUGGUGGGUAGUUUGACUGGGGCGGUCUCCUCCUAAAGAGUAACGGAGGAGCACGAAGGUUGGCUAAUCCUGGUCGGACAUCAGGAGGUUAGUGCAAUGGCAUAAGCCAGCUUGACUGCGAGCGUGACGGCGCGAGCAGGUGCGAAAGCAGGUCAUAGUGAUCCGGUGGUUCUGAAUGGAAGGGCCAUCGCUCAACGGAUAAAAGGUACUCCGGGGAUAACAGGCUGAUACCGCCCAAGAGUUCAUAUCGACGGCGGUGUUUGGCACCUCGAUGUCGGCUCAUCACAUCCUGGGGCUGAAGUAGGUCCCAAGGGUAUGGCUGUUCGCCAUUUAAAGUGGUACGCGAGCUGGGUUUAGAACGUCGUGAGACAGUUCGGUCCCUAUCUGCCGUGGGCGCUGGAGAACUGAGGGGGGCUGCUCCUAGUACGAGAGGACCGGAGUGGACGCAUCACUGGUGUUCGGGUUGUCAUGCCAAUGGCACUGCCCGGUAGCUAAAUGCGGAAGAGAUAAGUGCUGAAAGCAUCUAAGCACGAAACUUGCCCCGAGAUGAGUUCUCCCUGACUCCUUGAGAGUCCUGAAGGAACGUUGAAGACGACGACGUUGAUAGGCCGGGUGUGUAAGCGCAGCGAUGCGUUGAGCUAACCGGUACUAAUGAACCGUGAGGCUUAACCUU
This 2903-nucleotide ribosomal RNA is filed under the name Escherichia coli KTE18. RNAcentral's name for it is "bacterial LSU rRNA". It matches the Rfam family "Bacterial large subunit ribosomal RNA". Lineage: Bacteria; Pseudomonadati; Pseudomonadota; Gammaproteobacteria; Enterobacterales; Enterobacteriaceae. The record is from RNAcentral.